RNAcentral lists this ribosomal RNA (424 nucleotides) under Aquarius nebularis. RNAcentral's name for it is "partial 16S ribosomal RNA". Lineage: Eukaryota; Metazoa; Arthropoda; Insecta; Hemiptera; Gerridae. The record is from RNAcentral.
GAUAAGAACUCUCCGAAAAAAUUACGCUGUUAUCCCUAAGGUAAGUUAAUCUUAUAAUCAAAAAUUCUGGAUCAAAAAAAACAUAAAUUAAUGAAAAAAAUAUUAAAAGUUAAAUAAAUUUUAAUGUCACCCCAACAGAACUUUAUAUUCUAAAAAAUAGUUUAAUUAACAAAAAACAAUAAUUAAUAAAUAAAGUAAACUUCUAUAGGGUCUUCUCGUCCUAUAAAAAAAUUUUAGCUUUUUAACUAAAAAAUUAAAUUCAAAAUAAUUAAAAAAAGAAAGUUUAUUUUUCAUCAAACCAUUCAUACUAGCCUUCAAUUAAAAGACAAAUGAUUAUGCUACCUUCGUACAGUUAAAAUACCGCAGCCUUUUAAUUAAAAAAAAUCAAUGGGCAGGCCUGAUCUUAAAUUAAAGUCAAAAGACC